AGUGAACGCUGGCGGUAGGCCUAACACAUGCAAGUCGAACGGCAGCACAGUAAGAGCUUGCUCUUACGGGUGGCGAGUGGCGGACGGGUGAGGAAUACAUCGGAAUCUACUUUUUCGUGGGGGAUAACGUAGGGAAACUUACGCUAAUACCGCAUACGACCUACGGGUGAAAGCAGGGGAUCUUCGGACCUUGCGCGAUUGAAUGAGCCGAUGUCGGAUUAGCUAGUUGGCGGGGUAAAGGCCCACCAAGGCGACGAUCCGUAGCUGGUCUGAGAGGAUGAUCAUUCACACUGGAACUGAGACACGGUCCAGACUCCUACGGGAGGCAGCAGUGGGGAAUAUUGGACAAUGGGCGCAAGCCUGAUCCAGCCAUACCGCGUGGGUGAAGAAGGCCUUCGGGUUGUAAAGCCCUUUUGUUGGGAAAGAAAAGCAGCAGGUUAAUACCCCGCUGUUCUGACGGUACCCAAAGAAUAAGCACCGGCUAACUUCGUG
RNAcentral lists this ribosomal RNA (492 nucleotides) under uncultured bacterium. RNAcentral's name for it is "partial 16S ribosomal RNA". It matches the Rfam family "Bacterial small subunit ribosomal RNA", at positions 29 to 507 of the family's 1533-position model. The record is from RNAcentral.